Molecule: ribosomal RNA, 424 nt
Filed under: uncultured bacterium
Lineage: Bacteria
Description: bacterial SSU rRNA
Rfam family: Bacterial small subunit ribosomal RNA
Source: RNAcentral
GGGCGUCGACCGGCGCACGGGUGAGUAACGCGUAUCCAACCUUCCCCGCAAGUAAGGGAUAACCCGUAGAAAUGCGGCCUAAUACCUUANGUUUUCCUUAGAGGGCAUCUGAUGAGGAACAAAGAUCCGUCGCUUGCGGAUGGGGAUGCGUCUGAUUAGUUAGUCGGCGGGGUAACGGCCCACCGAGACGACGAUCAGUAGGGGUUCUGAGAGGAAAGUCCCCCACAUUGGAACUGAGACACGGUCCAAACUCCUACGGGAGGCAGCAGUGAGGAAUAUUGGUCAAUGGGCGGAAGCCUGAACCAGCCAAGUAGCGUGCAGGACGACGGCCCUAUGGGUUGUAAACUGCUUUUAUGCGGGGAUAAAGUGGGCCACGCGUGGCCUUUUGCAGGUACCGCAUGAAUAAGGACCGGCUAAUUCCGUG